This 70-nucleotide transfer RNA is filed under the name Loxodonta africana (African savanna elephant). It matches the Rfam family "tRNA". From Rfam's summary of the family: Transfer RNA (tRNA) molecules are approximately 80 nucleotides in length. Their secondary structure includes four short double-helical elements and three loops (D, anti-codon, and T loops). Further hydrogen bonds mediate the characteristic L-shaped molecular structure. tRNAs have two regions of fundamental functional importance: the anti-codon, which is responsible for specific mRNA codon recognition, and the 3' end, to which the tRNAs corresponding amino acid is attached (by aminoacyl-tRNA synthetases). tRNAs cope with the degeneracy of the genetic code in two manners: having more than one tRNA (with a specific anti-codon) for a particular amino acid; and 'wobble' base-pairing, i.e. permitting non-standard base-pairing at the 3rd anti-codon position. Lineage: Eukaryota; Metazoa; Chordata; Mammalia; Proboscidea; Elephantidae. The record is from Rfam by way of RNAcentral.
ACAUUGGUGGUUCAGUGGUAGAAAUCUCACUUUCAAUGCCAGAGACCAGGUUCGAUUCCUGGCCAAUGCA